AAGUAUCCAGGGAUGGGAAUCGAACCCACAGUGUUCCGCUUACCGGGCAGAUGCCAUGUCCACUAGGAAAGAAAACU
This 77-nucleotide transfer RNA is filed under the name Cordylochernes scorpioides. RNAcentral describes it as "tRNA-Thr". The record is from RNAcentral. Lineage: Eukaryota; Metazoa; Arthropoda; Arachnida; Pseudoscorpiones; Chernetidae.